UAAUCUUAUACUAUGAUUUGAAUGCUUUGAUUUUAAAGGCAAUAUUUUCUCCUCUAUGUAUCAUGUUUUGAAUAGAUGUGAACUAAAAUUAUCUUAAAAUUCAACAUGAUAUCUUAGCUUCCCCAGAUCAAAUAUACAACUAAAAAACUUAAAUUGAAAGAAGCUUAAUUAUCUAUGGAUGGUUUUAAUUGUAGAAACUGCAAAUGAAACUAAUCUUGACAUUGCCCCCAUAAGAUGCUUAAUUAUUGAAAUCUCUUCAAAAUUUGCAUGACC
RNAcentral lists this long non-coding RNA (273 nucleotides) under Elaeis guineensis (African oil palm). RNAcentral's name for it is "long non-coding RNA (EGUI_LNC002284)". The record is from RNAcentral. Lineage: Eukaryota; Viridiplantae; Streptophyta; Magnoliopsida; Arecales; Arecaceae.